GAAAGGGGCGGUAAUACCGUAUAAUGUCUACGGAUCAGAGAUUCAUCGGUAUGGGAGCGGCCUAUCUCCUAUCACCUUGUGGGUGAGGUAAUGGCUUACCAAUGCUACGACGGGUAGCGUGACUGAGAUGUUCGGCCGCCACAUCUGGACUGACACAUUGCCCGUACCUACCACGGACGGCUGCCUUAACGGAUAUUGGGCAAUGGGUGAAAGCCUGAGCCAGCAAUGCCGAGUGCAGGAUGAAGCCCCUCGGAGUGUAGACUGCUGUCCGGGGCACUAAAGUCUUCGGAUUGAUCAGUCCCAGGGGAAGUCUCGGCUAACUUCGUGCCAACAACCGCAGUAAUCUCAAGGUGGCGAGCGUUCUUCGGAAUCAUUGGGCUUUAAGGGCACGACACGCGGGAUAGCUCGUGUCAAGUGAAAUCCCCCGGCUUAACCGGGGAAUUGCUUAGAUAACUGUUAGUCCUUGAGACAGGCAUGGGUGCAUGGAACUCUUGGUGGAGCGGUGGAAUGCGUAGAUAUCAAGAGGAACGCCGGAGGUGAAGACGGUUCACUUGUGCCUGUACUGACGCUGAGAUGCGAAAGCGUGGGGAGCACACGGGAUUAGAUACCCCGGUAGUCCACGCCGUGUACGAUGCGUACUAGGUUGUGGGAGUUAUGACGCUCUCACAGCCUCAGCAAAAGUGUUAAGUAGGCCGCCUGGGGAGUACGCCCGCAAGGGUAAAACUCUAAGGAAUUGACGGGGGCUCACACAAACGCUGGAGCAUAUGGAUUAAUUCGAAGCAACGCGCAGAACCUUACAUGGGUUUGACAUGCUUGGAUGCCUGCUUGGAAACAGGUUAGCCUGCCCUUCGGGGUGAAACUUGCACAGGUGCUGCAUGGCUGUCGUCAGCUCGUGUCGUGAGAUGUCGGGUUAAGUCCUGUAACGAGCGAAACCCUUGCCGUUAGUUGCCAGCGGGUCAUGCCGGGGACUCUAACGGGACUGCCGGUGUUAAACCGGAGGAAGGUGGGGAUGACGUCAAGUCAUCAUGGCCUUUAUGCCCAGGGCUUCACACGUGCUACAAUGGCAGGUACAGAGGGAUGCGAGACCGCAAGGUGGAGCGAAGCCCAGAAAACCUGCCUCAGUUCGGAUUGCAGGCUGUCAAUUCGCCUGCAUGAAGUUGGAAUCG
Molecule: ribosomal RNA, 1166 nt
Filed under: uncultured organism
Description: bacterial SSU rRNA
Rfam family: Bacterial small subunit ribosomal RNA
Source: RNAcentral